This 450-nucleotide ribosomal RNA is filed under the name uncultured bacterium. RNAcentral's name for it is "partial 16S ribosomal RNA". It matches the Rfam family "Bacterial small subunit ribosomal RNA", at positions 338 to 795 of the family's 1533-position model. The record is from RNAcentral.
CCUACGGGUGGCUGCAGUGGGGAAUUUUGGACAAUGGGGGCAACCCUGAUCCAGCCAUGCCGCGUGAGUGAAGAAGGCCUUCGGGUUGUAAAGCUCUUUCGGCCGGGAAGAAAUCGCUCAAGCUAAUACCUUGGGUGGAUGACGGUACCGGAAGAAGAAGCACCGGCUAACUACGUGCCAGCAGCCGCGGUAAUACGUAGGGGACGUGCGGUAAUCGGAGUUACUGGGCGCGGAGCCAUAGGAGACGGCGGAAAUCCCCGGGCUUAACCUGGGAACUGCGUUUGUGACUGUGGUGCUCGAGUGCGGCAGAGGGGGGUGGAAUUCCACGUGUAGCAGUGAAAUGCGUAGAGAUGUGGAGGAACACCGAUGGCGAAGGCAGCCCCCUGGGUCGACACUGACGCUCAUGCACGAAAGCGUGGGGAGCAAACAGGAUUAGAUACCCCUGUAGUC